RNAcentral lists this ribosomal RNA (960 nucleotides) under Triticum aestivum (bread wheat). RNAcentral describes it as "partial small subunit ribosomal RNA". The record is from RNAcentral. Lineage: Eukaryota; Viridiplantae; Streptophyta; Magnoliopsida; Poales; Poaceae.
AUGAAAGAAGCGUGUUGGUUUGGAGGAUUUGCAUUUGAGCAACAAACGGAAGCAAGCAAUGAUGAUGAUGAUGAGGAUGAUGCAUCAAGUGAUGACGGCAAGAGAAGCCCCACAUCCAACUCGGUUUCAUACUCGAAGCCAAAACGAUCGGAUGGGUGCAAGAAAGACAAAACCGAAAAGAAGAAGAAGAAAGAAGAUGAUGAGCUCAAAAAUGAUAUGGAAGCUAUUGUGAAGGCAAGGGUCGACGCCAAUGAGGUGAGGAAAAUGGCAAGGAACCAAGAUGCCGUGGCCGAGGAGAGGAGGUUGGCGGCCGAGGAGAGAAGGGUGACGACCGAGGAGAGAAAGGUGACUUUGGAGGAGAGGAAAGUGAGCAACGAGGAGCGAGCUAAGUUGUUGGAAUGGGAGAAGCACUUGUUCUUCUUGGACACAUCUAACCUCAAUGCGGCGCAAAAAAAGUAUGUCAAUCUUGCCCAACAAGAAGUCUUGAUCCAAAAAAGAGUCUUGGUUCGUGCAAUGGGUAGCGGUGGCUUCGGCGCCAUGGGUGGCGGUGGACUCGGCGCCAUGGGAGGCAUGGGUGGCUUCGGAGCCAUGGGAGGCAUGGGUGCACCUCCGGCCGCCAUGGGAGGCAUGGAUGUACCUCCGGCCGCCAUGGGAGGCAUGGGUGGCUUUGGAGCACCCUCCGACGCUAUGGCCGCCAUGGAAGGCAUGCGUUUUGCUUCUCUCAUGGGAGGUAUGGAUGCACCUCCGGCCGCCAUGGGUGCAAUGUCUUUCGAUGUGCCUUCUCACACACAUUCCCAUAAAGAUGCCGUUGAAGAUCUUGCCAACACCGCCGGAGCUUCACAUGAUGCGGUGCGUGAUGCGGUGCGUGAUGAGGAGAGGGAGGAAGAUUCAUCUUCAGAGGCGGAAGAGUCGUCUUCGAAAGAUGAGGACGAAGACGAAGACGAGGAAGAUGAAGAUUGA